This 360-nucleotide ribosomal RNA is filed under the name uncultured bacterium. RNAcentral's name for it is "partial 16S ribosomal RNA". It matches the Rfam family "Bacterial small subunit ribosomal RNA", at positions 338 to 696 of the family's 1533-position model. The record is from RNAcentral.
CCUACGGGAGGCAGCAGUGAGGAAAUUUGGUCAAUGGGAGAGAUCCUGAACCAGCCAAGCCGCGUGAGGGAAGACGGCCCUAUGGGUUGUAAACCUCUUUUGUCGGAGAACAAAACCCGGGACGUGUCCCGGAUUGCGUUUAUCCGAAGAAAAAGCAUCGGCGAACUCCGUGCCAGCAGCCGCGGUAUUAGGGAGGAUGCGAGCGUUAUCCGGAUUUAUUGGGUUUAACGGGUGCGUAGGGGGUCCGUUAAGUCAGCGGUAAAAUUGGGGGGUUCAACCCCGUCGAGCCGUUGAAACUGGGAGACUUGAGUGGGCGAGAGGUACGCGGAAGGCGCGGUGUAGCGGUGAAAUGCAUAGAUA